GUAGUCUGACGUAAAUCCGUUCUUCACCAGAUGUUUGCCCAUGUCUAGCUUGGUUUGCCGACGCAUGUUUCCACAUUUGCUACACGGACACCAAGUCGAUCGAGCUCCAUUGACACUUGCAAACGCCCGUUCCAAGAAAGCAUCCAUCUUGUCAAGCCAUUCAUUGGUCAACGUAUUCUGACUAGUGCGACCCGUGUACAUCCACUGACGAUCCUCUAUCCUCUACCAUUUAAGUCAGUAAUACUAAAUUCACAUUGCAUAUACACGUUCCUAUAUUGUCUACUAGGUAAAGAUAGGUCCUAAUCCCACCCGAGGAUGUGUAGGUGGGUUUAGUAUCCAUGGUCUACUCCGACCCGAGAUAAAAUUUCGGCAGCACCUCCCC
RNAcentral lists this long non-coding RNA (382 nucleotides) under Setaria viridis. Its description in RNAcentral is "long non-coding RNA (SVIR_LNC005233)". The record is from RNAcentral. Lineage: Eukaryota; Viridiplantae; Streptophyta; Magnoliopsida; Poales; Poaceae.